This 519-nucleotide unclassified non-coding RNA is filed under the name Hevea brasiliensis (rubber tree). Lineage: Eukaryota; Viridiplantae; Streptophyta; Magnoliopsida; Malpighiales; Euphorbiaceae. The record is from RNAcentral.
UUAUAUUUUCCAGUGUAGUCUUGUCCUACAAUAGGAAAAUUUGGUGCAAUGCAUCCAAGAAAAAAAAUGCUCUAAGACCGAUAUCUGCAGUUGUAAUGGGGGGAUGCUCUGGUAAUUCGAUUGGCUUCAGUUUAAGCUCACAAUGUGUUUGUAGAAAUUACUAUAUAGAAAUGUUAAUAGAGGAAAUAUAUUUAGACUGCUCGUGAAAAGCAUGGCUGCUUAAAGAAUUUGAGUUAUGCACUCAUUCAGGGUCUUAGUUGACAUCAUAUGUUGCUGUAUUUUUUCCUACCCUAUCAAGUUUCAAGAAAUAAAUUAUCUUAUAUUUCCAAAAAGUAACUUUUCUUGUAAAUCUUUGUUGGAUGGUGAUGGAGAUCCUUGUGUUUAUUUUGUUAUUUUUAUUGUUUGUAAAUUAAUAAAAUGUUUACUCAGUGACCAGUGUUUAAAAAAAAUGGAAAAGAUGAUAAUGCCCGAUUCAAGUCUGCGCUUUGUAAUGGUUGUGAUUAUAAAUCUUAUUAUCAG